RNAcentral lists this ribosomal RNA (833 nucleotides) under Oceanobacillus sp. CSR-O-1. RNAcentral describes it as "bacterial SSU rRNA". It matches the Rfam family "Bacterial small subunit ribosomal RNA", at positions 40 to 844 of the family's 1533-position model. Lineage: Bacteria; Bacillati; Bacillota; Bacilli; Caryophanales; Bacillaceae. The record is from RNAcentral.
CGGCGCGGCUAUCAUGCAGUCGAGCGCGGGAGCUCUUCUGAUCCCUUCGGGGUGAAUAGAGUGGAACGAGCGGCGGACGGGUGAGUAACACGUGGGCAACCUACCUAUAAGACUGGGAUAACUCGCGGAAACGUGAGCUAAUACCGGAUAAUACUUUUUAUUGCAUAAUAAGAAGUUUGAAAGACGGCGUAAGCUGUCACUUAUAGAUGGGCCCGCGGCGCAUUAGCUAGUUGGUGAGGUAAAGGCUCACCAAGGCAACGAUGCGUAGCCGACCUGAGAGGGUGAUCGGCCACACUGGGACUGAGACACGGCCCAGACUCCUACGGGAGGCAGCAGUAGGGAAUCUUCCGCAAUGGACGAAAGUCUGACGGAGCAACGCCGCGUGAGUGAAGAAGGUUUUCGGAUCGUAAAACUCUGUUGUUAGGGAAGAACAAGUCAGGUAGUAACUGACCUGACCUUGACGGUACCUAACCAGAAAGCCACGGCUAACUACGUGCCAGCAGCCGCGGUAAUACGUAGGUGGCAAGCGUUGUCCGGAUUUAUUGGGCGUAAAGCGCUCGCAGGCGGUCUUUUAAGUCUGAUGUGAAAGCCCACGGCUUAACCGUGGAGGGUCAUUGGAAACUGGAGGACUUGAGUGCAGAAGAGGAGAGUGGAAUUCCAUGUGUAGCGGUGAAAUGCGUAGAGAUAUGGAGGAACACCAGUGGCGAAGGCGACUCUCUGGUCUGUAACUGACGCUGAGGAGCGAAAGCGUGGGUAGCGAACAGGAUUAGAUACCCUGGUAGUCCACGCCGUAAACGAUGAGUGCUAGGUGUUAGGGGUUUCCGCCCCUUAGU